Molecule: ribosomal RNA, 200 nt
Filed under: uncultured bacterium
Lineage: Bacteria
Description: partial 16S ribosomal RNA
Rfam family: Bacterial small subunit ribosomal RNA
Source: RNAcentral
AGAGUUUGAUCCUGGCUCAGAGUUAACGCUGGCAGCGUGCAUAACACAUGCAAGUCGAGCGGGAUACGCGGCGUAGCAAUACGUCGUGUGUCUAGCGGCAGACGGGUGAGUAACACGUGAGAAAUCUGCCUCCAGGCGGGGAAUAACGCACCGAAAGGUGCGCUAAUGUCCCGUACUAUCCCUAGAAGGCAUCUUCAGGG